AACGAACGCUGGCGGCAGGCUUAACACAUGCAAGUCGAACGCUCGACCUUCGGGUCGGGAGUGGCAGACGGGUGAGUAACGCGUGGGAACGUACCCUUCGGUUCGGAAUAACCCAGGGAAACUUGGGCUAAUACCGGAUACGUCCUGGCCUGGAGACAGGGUGGGAGAAAGGUUUACUGCCGAAGGAUCGGCCCGCGUCGGAUUAGCUAGUUGGUGGGGUAACGGCCCACCAAGGCGACGAUCCGUAGCUGGUCUGAGAGGAUGAUCAGCCACACUGGGACUGAGACACGGCCCAGACUCCUACGGGAGGCAGCAGUGGGGAAUAUUGGACAAUGGGCGGAAAGCCUGAUCCAGCCAUGCCGCGUGAGUGAAGAACGGCCUUUAGGGUUGUAAAGCUCUUUCAGCGGGGACGAUAAUGACGGUACCGCAGAAGAAGUCCCGGCUAACUUCGUGCC
RNAcentral lists this ribosomal RNA (455 nucleotides) under uncultured bacterium. Its description in RNAcentral is "bacterial SSU rRNA". It matches the Rfam family "Bacterial small subunit ribosomal RNA", at positions 29 to 509 of the family's 1533-position model. The record is from RNAcentral.